This 71-nucleotide transfer RNA is filed under the name Cavia porcellus (domestic guinea pig). It matches the Rfam family "tRNA". From Rfam's summary of the family: Transfer RNA (tRNA) molecules are approximately 80 nucleotides in length. Their secondary structure includes four short double-helical elements and three loops (D, anti-codon, and T loops). The record is from Rfam by way of RNAcentral. Lineage: Eukaryota; Metazoa; Chordata; Mammalia; Rodentia; Caviidae.
GAGGAUGUAGCUCAGAGGUAGAGUACUUGCCUAGCAUGCACAAGGCCCUGAGUUCAAUUCUCAGAACCACA